Molecule: ribosomal RNA, 402 nt
Filed under: uncultured prokaryote
Description: bacterial SSU rRNA
Rfam family: Bacterial small subunit ribosomal RNA
Source: RNAcentral
UAGGGAAUAUUAGAAAUGGACGAAAGUCUGAUCUAGCAACACCGCGUGUGCGAAGAAGGCCUUCGGGUUGUAAAGCACUUUUUGGAAGGAUUAGGAAGGAAUGUACUUCCAGAAUAAGUCUCGGCUAACUACGUGCCAGCAGCCGCGGUAAUACGUAGGAGGCAAACGUUAUCCGGAUUUACUGGGCGUAAAGCGCGUGUAGGUGGUUUGGUAAGUAGAGCGUGAAAGCUCCUGGCUCAACUGGGAGAGGUCGUUCUAAACUGCCGGACUAGAGGAUGGUAGAGGGAGGUGGAAUUCCGGGUGUAGCGGUGGAAUGCGCAGAUAUCCGGAGGAACACCAGUGGCGAAAGCGGCCUCCUGGCCCAUUUCUGACGCUCAGACACGAAAGCUAAGGUGGCAAACG